UAAAAACUUAUGUUUGUUUGAUAAAAAACUACAAAAACGACCAGCAAAAGUAUUAGUACAGUUGCUUUAAUAAUUCCCUAUAAAAUUGUUAUAAAAUGGAUAGAUUUGCGAGGACAUAUUAAAUUCAAAAUACGUUGCACUUUUUGUUUACAUAACCAGCCACAAUAUCAAUAAAACAACCCAUCUUUUCGUUUAUAACAAACAUAACCUAAACAUUCUUGUAUAUAACCAUUUUGGUCGAAUAUCCCGGAUUACCCAAAAAGCCACUUUAAAAAUCACGGCUUUACAGAGGAGUUCUCAGUACUUGAUUAUAUAAGGUUGACUGUGAUCGUGUAUUGACCCCUUAUAUCGGGCAGAAAAAGAACCUGAAUAUUAACUUAAUUAGAAGCUAUUGUAUUCAACUAUAUUUUACUCUCUUCUGUUGUGUGGGCUGUUUAGCAUCAACUUAACCCAUUGCAAAUAAGAUCUUGCCAGAUAAACGUGCCUGUCAAACACCAAUUGUUUUUGUAGCUCAAUCACUUGUCAAAUAACAGCUUUGAGAGACUACGGAAUACCAAUCAUGUGGUACAUUUUGAUAUCCUCACUGACUGUUGGGAUUACUUAUUUUAAAAAUAUAAUACAGGGACAAUUCUAAAUUUGAAUAAGGCCUAUCUAAAGGGCUGGCACAGAGUUAAUACCCUAAUAUGCAAAAUCUUUUAAGAAUCAUCGUAAUCAUGUUUUAAUUGAAGAUAAAAAUAUGUCUUAAAAGUAUGUGCUUGCUUAAGUGAAUUACGUUAACUUACAUUAAAAUAUCACUUGCUCGGUAUAACUUCUAUUAAUGAUUAUUAAAUACAAGGCAUGAAUUGAGGUUUGAACGACUGCAAACUUAUUGUGUAAGGUAUAACACAUUAUUCAAAACCUACUCAUUGUUGACAUUUAUUUACUUACGAUCCAAGUGGAUAGGGUAUUUCAAGCACCCAUUAGUAAGUAAGAAGAGUUCGGCCUUAUACUAUUUAUGAGAAUAAUUAAAAAGUAUUUCAGAAUAUUAAGAUGUCAUUUAAAAAUAACCUUAUAAAAGACGCUUGUUAAAUUGUUUCUGAACAUAUUUCAUUUCUACAUGAAGUAAAGAUAAUCAUUGUGUUAGAAAGAAGAGAAAAUAAAUAUAGCUUUAUUAAUGCAAUUUGAAAUGAGGUUAUUUUCAAUAUUUGACCUUGACAAGGACGUGUCCUAAAUCUUAUCCUGUUGUAAAAUUAAACACACGCUUUUUUUACUAUAUUAUAAAAAGAUGUAAUAUAAUAUAAUAUAUAAAACAAUAUCAACUUUAGGUUCAAAAUUUGUACAUUUUUGGUAUAAUUAAAAGAUUGGAUACAAUUAGGUUGGCUAAAUUGGAAAGACCGUCAAGUCUCAUUUGUGAAAGGAAAGUUAAUACGUCGUUUCAUAACACAAACAUUUGCGUUUUUUUCAGAAUUCAUUCUAUAUCUCAAACAAAAUAUAUUCAGUAAGCUGUACACAUGCUCGAAAAUUCAUAACAGAAACUUCAAAAUUAAGAAAGGUAAAAAAGGUACAUUAAAGGUAAUCCAAGCAUAUCAUUGAAAUUUUGUUUUUAAAGCUGUACACAUGGACAAAAAGUAAUUGCUGCACCUGAAAAAAGAGAUUCAUCCAACAACAACAUUGUUAUUUGUUUACAAAAUUGUGAACAUGGCCAAACUUUCUGCCCAGUAGUUUAAAAGAUAAGACAGUAGGUCAAAAAGGGUGGGACCGAAUUUGAUCAAAGGGGCGUAAUUUGCACAAUCUUGGUAGAUGACCACUAUAUGAUGAACAAAUUAUUAAAGGUCUGGGCUUAGCGGUGUCAGACGUGAAGAUUUUCGAUCACAGGAAACUUCAUGGCAUAGCAAGUUUUGACCCCCUGAUCAUAAUUUGUAUUUCACAAGCAAUAGUGUUAGACACACGAACGACGGACAGCGCACAAUCCAUUAAAAUAUAUAACUGCUAUAAACUAUGAUGAUUUAACAAAACUACACAAUGAACAACUUUCAGAUUAUUAAGUUCAUCAUAACGGCCAAGAAUGAUUUUUUUCUAGAAAAUAAAGAGAUAUAAUAUUUCCUAACCUAUAAAAAGAACAAAUAUAACCCUAAUGUGACUAAUUUGAAGAAUUUAUAAAAUAUAACAUAUAAUCCCUUGUUAUUAAAAAUAGAAAAAUAGAAAAAUAAACAAUGCAUACUUCAACGGAAAGGGAGACCACAAAGCAAGAUUUGUUGCCCUUGAUUGAAGCGUAAACUUUAGAUAACUAUCAAGAUUUUAACAAAAUGUAUCUAUAGUGAACUUGUUACCUACAAAGUGAGGCCAAUUUUGACCCCAGGGGCAUAAGUUUGAACAAACUUGAUAGACAACUGCAAGACAAUGUUACACACCAAAAAUCUAAGCUCUAUGCCCCAUGGUUUUUGUCAAGAAAAGUUUUGUAGUUUUUCUACCUAGAAUUCAUUUCUUUGAACAAUUCUGAAAGAGCAGCAACCAAGGAUCAUUCCUAUGAAGUUUCAUUAAGAUUGUCCUAGUGGUUAAGGAGAACAUGACAUUUAUUAUUAAUUGUUGACAUUGGACGACGGAUUGCAUACGACGGAUUGCAUACGACGGAGGACAGACACCGGACAUGUUUGCCCAGUGCCAUUAAACCGGGUUUAUGUUUAAACUUUUUGCUACUGAGCUUGUUUGUGUAGCUUUUUUGCAAAAAUAUAGACCAAUCACAUUAGUUCACUUUGCGCACUCUGUGCUUGGGUUAUUUAAGAACAUAUACAAAUCAUAAACAUGACAAAUAAUGAACAAGAUAAUCAUCAUAUACAACUAUUUCAUCUUAAAACAUUGCAUAUUUAUGAGAUAUUUUUUAACAGAUUAACAGAAUCCGGAUUAAGUCUGUUUUUUUUAACAGAUUAUAUUAUAAGCUUCUUUUAAAUUUCAAAAAGCACAUUAUUUUUGAAUAAUCAUAAGGUCGGCAUUUAAUAAUGCACAUACUAUAGCAAAGUUCUGCCUUCUUCCAGACAAAAAAGUAUGAUUUGAAAAAACAGUAACCUAUUUGAGAUAGUAUAUUGUUGAUAAUAUUAUACUCUUUGUAUUCAAUCUUAUAUUCAGUUAUAACUAUUUCGAGGCUUUUCAUCUGUUUUUGUAUAUUUCAAUGAUUAAAGGUGUCAUUUAACUUCGACCAAAAACGAGAAGGUACGGUUAUUUAAUAAGUAGUCAUAGUCUUCGACUUGGUUGCAAUGAUUACAAACAGGUCUUGUCCAGUAAUUUUGCAUUUUACUGACCGUUCCAAUGCGGUACCUAACAAACAUUGAUAAACAUACCUAGUUUUUUCUUUACAGUAUGUAUGCACUGUACUGCUUGUGGAGUUUUUUGCUGUUUUUCCAUGCUUCUUGUUUGUGAUUUUUGGACGGUACUGCGAAGCAGUGCCAUUCAUAGGUAUCAUGCUACUUUUCGACAGGCAUGCAUCAUUUGGUCCCCGGCUUCAUACCUCAAACAGAAGCGUCUAGGAACCAGUUUUAAACGGAAGUGCACGGCCAAAUAAAAUAGACCUUUUGUCCGCUAUUCAUAAGUACGCGAGUCAAGUAGCGCCCAAAGGCGGCUGAUUCAUAUAGUAAAAUAUAUUCUUCGACUGAAUUCCACAAUAUUUAACAGUGCAUUGUUAAAUAAAAACACAAUGGUUACACAUGAGUUGUUGGUAGAUUAUACCUUUCUUUUAUGACACUAGUGUUUCAUGAAAAACUUAUUCAGAUCGGCUUCUUUCAAGAAAACAUCGCCAUUUUGGAAAUAUCUCAGCAGGUCCGCGUUGUCUUUUGCUAAAAGGCUGACCCGAGAGCUGACCAUAUAAAUGAAGAGGGAAAACGCUGACCAGAAAAAUGGAAAUUGAGUUAUAUCUGUUGAAUUAAUUUUAAUGAGUUAUUUUGAUUUCCUUGUAAUAUUGAAUGUGUAUUAUAACUGAUUUAUUAUAAAUAUGUAUAAUUUAUAAGAGCGUUUAGUUAAAGAUAGAUGACUUUUUUAUCAUUUGUAGAUAUAGAAGUAUCAAUCUACAUCUAGGCCACACCAAGUACAUUAAUUAAUUUCAAAACUCGGCAAACCAUAAAACUUUAAAAAAUAUAUCAAAAUAUUUUCAUUCAUUUUUUUUGGUCAUCCUUUUCCUCUACUGUAUAUCUAUUGUUCAGCCCUUAGGUCAGCCUUUUAGUAUCUCUCCGUUCUCUUGCGAACUUAGCGCUGGGAUCUGUCAUUCUUGGCUAGGAAAACAACAAGUGGGAUAUAGACGCGGCUAUCGCGUCAAGAUAAUUGACUUUCAUACAUAAUUCGCAAACAAGUACGUAACUAUGAUUUUCAAGGAAUUUGAUUGAUAUGUUUCAAAUGAUGUAUGAAUACACAUCGUUCCAAGCAUCGUCCAAUCAUUGGCCGGCAAAUUUCGGUGAGUGACUACUUACAAUAGAAUUUUCGAACGAAUUUAAUUUGUUCUUUAUUUUGAAUUUCGCUGAUUUUGGUAUCCUGUUCUGAUAUUUUGAAAAUAUUAUGUAGAAGCACAUACAGUUGAAAAAUUAUUUCGGUCAGUUAUUAAGCUAUAUUAUGCUAUAAAUAUCUUAAUUUGUAGUAAAUUCGAAAUUUUGUUGCUGUUAUUAUUUUCGUUCAGUCACGAAGAUUUACAGAACAAAUCAAGGACUAUGCAAGCGACUGACUUCAACGUAUAUGUGUAUAAUGAAUUCCAUCAAUGAAGCCUUUGAAAAAAGCGGGCCAUACCCCAGUCUUUGCAUGUGGGAAUGUGGUGUACCACAGGAGGUCAGAUGGCAUUCCAUGAUGGAAUAAAUCUCUUACCAAAUAUUCAGCAGGUCAAAAAUGCUCUUUACCAUCCACAGACAGUAUUUGGCAAACUAGGAACAAGAAAUUCCACUUAAUGUAAUAGCGGUUUGGUUGUGCAUGAACAGCAAAUGUAUCCGGUGCUGGUUUGUUAACAUGCAGGGGCUGCCACUAUCUUCCUUUAGGAUAACAAGGAUGUCAGUUUCCAGCAAAAUAAUCCAGGAAGACACCCAGGUCUUACUGUGAAGGAACGCAAUGAGGUUGUGACCAUAAGGCUCAAAGCUGUGGAGAAAGAUGUCUGGCCAGGAGACAUACUGAUGUUAUGCUUUACUGAUGUUGUUGCCAACACCUACAAACCAUUCACUACAACUACCACAAUGAACAAUGUACUGAUAAUGCAGAAAAUCUGAGCUACCUUUGUGAAAGAGGCCAAGAGAAGAUUGGAUGGUGGAGUUUCAGAUGACACAAUGCCGACUGUUUCCACCCAGCUGAUUUUGCUUCCUACUGGCAGCAGAAGGAAGUCUUCACUUUUAUUUCAAACAAUUCAGUUUUAAUGCCACCAUUUUGUCAAGAUAACAUGUAACUGAACAGAUUGAAAUUACACCACCUUCCUUCAUUAACACAAACCAUCUGUGUACCUUGACCAUCAGCUUGAACAGUAUACUACUUCAACUACCAUUUCCUCAUAUUCAAGCAUUACUAGAAAGGUCUGAAAGGCAAUCAUGCUAUCUUCAGUGAUAAAUGAAGAAUGAUAAACUCCUCUGUAAUAAAUUCUGCUGCAACUUGAGAUCACCAGUAUGUACAGACAUUGCCAAAUUUAUUGCAUUUAUUACUUGUGUCUUAUCAGUGCUCUAUGCAUAGAUAUUGUACUUGAAGUUAACUAUGAUUUUAUUAAGAAACGAUUUUUCACUCUGUAUUGAUGUUCACAUACUUCCUACAAUAAUUUCUGUUGCUAUACCAGUGCCACUAACAGAUAAUCUAGAUGAAUUUGUUUUUAUUUAUUUCUACUACUGUUGUCUAUGAUCAUUUUCAUAUCAUAUAGUUAGUACACUUCAUUAUAUACAAGGCAGUCAAUGUCUUAUUUCCUAUAAUAACUCGGCAAAUAAGCCUUUUGACAUUUGUGCUUUCAAUUUUCUAUAUAGUUUUCAUUAACAUUUCUAACAUUGAAGUCUGAUCACUGUUAAAAACAGGCUCUACUUCAUGGAUGCCUAGAAAUGUCUUCCAAAUUGAUAAUUAAUUAAAAUAACAAUAACCUAAUGCCCUUAUGGAAACAUAUUUCAAACAUUUCUCAACGGCUAUGAAAUUAUUUUUGGACAAACCUUUUUGCAGUUUACAGCCUUUAAAAAAUUAAGAUUUUAUCCCAACCAAAUGCACUGCUUAACCUAUAAAUAAAUUAUUUUUGACAUAUUGUAAUCAUUUUUGCAUGUUUUUUCUGCUACAAUGUUAUCACGUUUUUAUGUGUAUCAUUUAGAUUCAUUGUUUUCACAUUAUUACUUCACUCAUGAUUCAUUGCUAAUCUCAUUUUAUGUAAAUUUCUUCUUGUUCAAUUGUAAAUAAUGACAAAUGCUGCUCAAAAGAGUGUGAUAAUGGAUAUACUCUUCCUGUCAUUCAUGUUAUUUGAUAAUUGUCAGCUGCGGCAUCUUCCAUGAAUUGCAUUAAUUUCACUAUCACUUGUACAUUAUCAUUUCGCAUUUCAUUAUAGAUUCAUAUAACACUACAGACUGGUUAAUUGUAAUGGUAAACUAUUUUUAAAAGAAAUCCAUCCUUUGAUAUAGCCUUCAUCUUACACCAUUAUUUCCUAGAGCUUUACCUUGCAUUUCUGUCAUUCAGGCAUGGUUGAAAUACAUUUCAAGGGACUAGACACCAGAUGAUACCAUUGCAAGAUGAAAAAAACCUGUCCAAAACUUUAAUGGAAUUUAUAUCUUAGUGUACAUUUUAAUUGAGUUUUUGGACGAGUACAUCCCAGUUAUUUUAAAAAAUAGCUUGUGUGUCUUGUAAAAAAACACAAGACCCCCACAUGCUAUUCUUUAGUGUAUACACACAGCUGAGACAGGGAUAUAAAUAUUUAUUUUUACAUUUAAAAAAUUGCAUUUUUGACCUCAUACUAGCCCUAAUUCAUAAGUUCAGUCUUGUUUUAAAGAAAAAUUGAACUUGCUGAUUUUGGUACUUUUGGUUCAUCCCCAAUUGAUCCAAUAAAAUAAUGAUAAUUAUGGAGAAAUAAAGACAUACUUUAUAUGUAAUGUUAAUUGGGCUCAAUUUCAGACCUAUUCAGAUUAUGAAAUAAAAUACUGCAUUAUAACUUUUAUUAAAUCAUAGCAACUAUAAAAACACACAAAAGAGAAUGUUCCUUUUCAUAUAGCUUGUUCUUAUUUAUCUGAAAUUGAACUGCUGGUGUUUAGGCAUUGGUCUAUGACAGGUGUGGUUGACUGUUGAUAUGUAAAUUUAACCAGCUACGAUAACAACAUCAUAUGCAUACACCACUGUCAGCAUUUUAACUGCUACAGCUAAUGAAGAACCUCCAAUAGCUAUACUCUUAUAUUAGCUGCCAUUUAUAAAUAAUAUUUAAAUCUAUUUUGUAUUACAGUUUUCCUUUGAGAUUCAUAAAAAACAUUUACAACCUAUCAAUAAAAUUUAUAUCCGUAUGUACUUCAGUGUUCAUGUUUUGUGGUUUCCUUCUUACCAAAGCCAAAAUAGUUGUUAUCAUAGCCUAUUAGUUGUUACUCAAUUUUUUUAACAUUGCCAUGCUUGAGCUAGGCCUGCUUCCAUUUUCCGACUCCUUGCUGCUGUAUUACUAUUACCCACUGUGCCCUUUUGUUAGGCAGAGCUUCCAUCAAUAAUUAUGAAUUCUAUUUGAUAUUCAAAAUCAUUUUUAAAUGUCAAUUCCAAAAAAGUUUAAAAAUAAUACAGAAACAUAAUUGUGAUACUUAUUUGAGAUAAAAGCAACCCUUACCAUUUGUGUUGGUAUUGAGAGUAGUUACAACACAUGCACAAUAAUAUUUGAACAUUGACCCUUGCAAAUGCCCCAUUAGCGCUCUUUCAAUGCACAUCAAAAGAUCACAGUCUGACCUUGCACCCUGCCCUUUUAAAUCAUAGCUCGGGUCCUGAAUUUCUACUUAAGAAACUUUCUUCUACAAAAAAAAAACAGACUAGGAGAGUUGUACUGUCUGAUUCAAUCUCCUCUUUCCACACAUCUGACAUUCAUACAACCAGAUGUAACUCUCCUGCUGCCAGCUUUAAGCAGUACCGUCCCUCAGCACUUUCAGUGCUUUGAUUGUUAUAUGUCGUUGUCGUUGGCGUUAACCAAGUGCGUAUGGAGUUUAUUUCCUAUUAAAGUUGUUCGCUUAAUUUUAUCUCUUUUGUCAUUCCAAAUGAAAUUAAAGAUUUAAUAUAUACUGUUUUAAUAACAUGAUUGGGAGUUAAAAUAAUUUGCGCUAGAUACGUACGUUUGGGCAGCAGCAAUGCUUUUAUAACAGAAAUUUUGCCAAAAAGGCAAGUUUCGUUUCUUCUUGCUUAUUUGCGUUUGACAUUUAUCAUUUUUAAAGCCAAUAUUAGAUUAAUGCAUUCAGUUUAAUUGUUACCAAAAUAAAUGCCUAUGGAUUGUAUAUAUUUUAACGUGAAAUUGAUAUUGUACAUUUUAUCCAUGCCAUUGUUUUAAAGUACCUAUAGACCUUGUGUUUAAGUAUGUUGAGCUUCAGCCCGGAAAAAAUUGCCGAAUCUAUCAAUAAUCUCCUGAGCUAAUUGGAUUUUAGCUUCAUUUUUAAAAAAAUGGGUUGUGUCGUCUGCGUCAUUUUAAAAUGAGUAUUAUCUACAUUCAGAGCUUUAAUUAAUCAGCAUUGAACGUAUUACUUAUUACAGAGCUCAUUUUUCAAUUAUAUGGGUAAGAGUUUUUGAAAACACAACCACAACCUUUAUAAUACAUUUAAAAAAUCAAGAACAUCGGAAUCCAUCAGAAGGUUGUACACAUAAUGUCGAGAUAUAUUUGUUUUGUAAUUUGUAAAAAAGCUUAUAUUAAGCUUUGUUAUUAAUAAUGUAAAUACGUUUUAUUUCAAAGUAUAUAACUAUGUGGUUCUUU
Long non-coding RNA from Mya arenaria, 8872 nucleotides. RefSeq lists it as uncharacterized. The transcript has 4 exons. The record is from RefSeq and is a predicted model, not a curated record. Lineage: Eukaryota; Metazoa; Mollusca; Bivalvia; Myida; Myidae.